Long non-coding RNA from Pyrus x bretschneideri (Chinese white pear), 1293 nucleotides. RefSeq lists it as uncharacterized. The record is from RefSeq and is a predicted model, not a curated record. NCBI's taxonomy places the organism in Eukaryota, Viridiplantae, Streptophyta, Magnoliopsida, Rosales, Rosaceae. The transcript is spliced from 2 exons.
GUGCCUUUUUGAAAUCAACCACAGUUCAUAAAUGUUGUAGAUGUAAUUUAUUUAUUUAAUCAACGAAUAUAAUAAUAUAAUCUGAUAUUUGUUAUUAGAAAAAUUCCCAAAAUAUACCAAUUCCAUAUCUGACGACACCAACCACCAAGUCUCACCCGUUCGCUUCCAUCGGUAGUUUCUUCGAAAUAAACUACUCAUUUCUCUCUCAAAGUCCCACCCCCAACCUUCAACCCCGCCCCCCACAUUGACCCGCACCUUCUUCGCAAUCGCAACCGUCUCUCUAAGAAAACCCUAGCAGUCGUCGCAUCGUGCUUCCGUCUUCGCGAUGCCAAAGUUCACGCCGACCACCGGGAGCUGGAUGCAAUGUCCGGCCCUGUUAUGGGAAAGAUCUCCCUCAGGAACUGCUAUUAUGUGACUAAUAGAAGUAGAAACGAAGGAAAAACGGGUUGAAAUUUGGGUUAUGCUGCCGGUAUGGAUGUUUUUGCAAGUGGCUGGGUUAUGCAGAGAAGGGGAAUGUCGAAUUUAUUCGUGCUGAAGGAGGUAUGAAUUAGGGGAAUUCUGAGGUGGUUAGCUGAAUUUGAUAUGUUAUUGUUCCAUUUUUUAUGCAAAUUAGGGGAAUUUGAGUGUGGGCUGAUAGAAUUGGAUUUAGAUUUAUUAUGCAGUUUCAUUUUUUAAAGAACAAUUUGGAUCAAGUUUUCUGUUAUCAGUGAAUUUAGUGUUUGAUAUUCUCAAAUAUUUUAGUAUGGGGAUCAAUAUUUGCACUGUUGAACUUCAAGCAUCUAAGGAUUCCAAUUUUAAGGAUGCGGGUAUGUUGUUCUUUAAAUACAACUUUCGUCGACUAAUCUUUUAUUAGUUUAAAGGUCUUAACGCUUCUUUCUCUUUUACUUUUUCUUUUAUUAACCCAGGGUUAUACAAUUUGCAAGUUACUAUUGAAUUAUAUUUGAUACAGUACAAGGUACAACAAUAAAUCCGUACCGUUCAAUAAUUAUUUGGAUUGAGAUCUAAUGUAUAUUCCCACCUAUAGAUCUAUAUGCUUAUGUCCAUGCAGAUAGAGAGAGGCAACAAUUGUUGAGGCUCAAGCAUUAUGGGCAGUAGUUCAUUCUGAAUGUCCUUGCUUGGAGGUGUCCAAAGAAAUGUUAAGUCUUCAAGUGAUAAUGUUCUUGUUAUUAGAGGCGUAUUUGAUACUUUGUGGGUAGUUUGGUAUUUCUUAGUAUAAUUUAUCGAUUUUGUUGUUAGCUUUAGUGUAUAGUUUGUAAUAUUUGAAUCAUGAUUUUUUAUGGAAUUAUUAAAUCA